Non-coding RNA from Biomphalaria glabrata, 57 nucleotides. The record is from Rfam. NCBI's taxonomy places the organism in Eukaryota, Metazoa, Mollusca, Gastropoda, Planorbidae.
UAGCUAAGCGGUAAAGCGCUUGGCUUCCAAACCGGGUGACCCGGGUUCGAAUCCUGG